GACAGAGGGUGCAAACGUUGCUCGGAAUCACUGGGCGUAAAGGGCGUGUAGGCGGAUAGAUAAGUCGGGCGUGAAAGCCCCAGGCUCAACCUGGGAACUGCACUCGAAACUGUUUAUCUUGAGUGCCGGAGAGGAAAGCGGAAUACCUGGUGUAGAGGUGAAAUUCGUAGAUAUCAGGUGGAACACCGAUGGCGAAGGCAGCUCGCUGGGACGGUACUGACGCUGAGGCGCGAAAGCGUGGGGAGCGAACAGG
Molecule: ribosomal RNA, 253 nt
Filed under: uncultured bacterium
Lineage: Bacteria
Description: partial 16S ribosomal RNA
Rfam family: Bacterial small subunit ribosomal RNA
Source: RNAcentral